CGUGUAGCUUGGCCUCGCAGAGCAUUGCGUUCGGGACGCAAAGGCCAGAGUUCUAAUCCUUGUGUCACGACCA
Molecule: transfer RNA, 73 nt
Filed under: Polaromonas sp.
Lineage: Bacteria; Pseudomonadati; Pseudomonadota; Betaproteobacteria; Burkholderiales; Comamonadaceae
Description: tRNA-Pro
Source: RNAcentral